Oreochromis niloticus (Nile tilapia) is the source of this 228-nucleotide long non-coding RNA. RefSeq lists it as uncharacterized. The record is from RefSeq and is a predicted model, not a curated record. Lineage: Eukaryota; Metazoa; Chordata; Actinopteri; Cichliformes; Cichlidae. The transcript is spliced from 3 exons.
CAGAGCUGGACCACAUUAACCGGCUCACACCAUCAGCGCCGCCCUCUGCUUCACCACGCAGCUCGUCACUAUCCUGUCCCACAUGCUGGAUGUCAACCUGCCCAAGAAGCUCUGCAACAGCGAGUUCUGCGGAGACAAUCUGAGCCGCUACCGCUUCACCCGAGCUCUGAGCAAGCUCAACACCAACGUGCUCCACCUGUGCUUCUCUCAGCACGUUGACAGCGAGAA